This 293-nucleotide long non-coding RNA is filed under the name Gossypium barbadense (sea-island cotton). Its description in RNAcentral is "long non-coding RNA (GBAR_LNC023179)". The record is from RNAcentral. Lineage: Eukaryota; Viridiplantae; Streptophyta; Magnoliopsida; Malvales; Malvaceae.
AAGUCAAGCCAGACACAGAUUCAAUACUCUACUGGAAUUGAAGUUGCAGAUUUUGGGGGUUUUUUUGAUAUCUUCUUUCUCACCAACAAAUGAAGUUCCCACAAAUUCCACAUUUAUAGAUGUGCCCUUUUUACCUAGAUAUUAAUGUGAAGGGAAUAAAGAUGACAAUGAUUGAUGUAAGGAAAGCAGAUGAGGGAUAAAUAACAGAUGUUUGUAACAAGUAAGCUUUUCAGAUGUUCAAUUUCUUCUACUGAAUGAUUUCUUUAUAUUGUGGUUGGACUUAGAUAUUGAAG